CUACGGGCCGCAGCAGUGAGGAAUAUUGCACAAUGGAGGAAACUCUGAUGCAGCAACGCCGCGUGGAGGAUGACGCAUUUCGGUGUGUAAACUCCUUUUAAGAGGGAAGAUAAUGACGGUACCUCUUGAAUAAGCACCGGCUAACUCCGUGCCAGCAGCCGCGGUAAUACGGAGGGUGCAAGCGUUACUCGGAAUCACUGGGCGUAAAGGGUGCGUAGGCUGACUUUUAAGUCAGGUGUGAAAUCCAAUGGCUCAACCAUUGAACUGCACUUGAAACUGGGAGUCUAGAGUUCAGAAGGGGCAGAUGGAAUUAGUGGUGUAGGGGUAAAAUCCGUAGAUAUCACUAGGAAUAUCAAAAGCGAAGGCGAUCUGCUGGGAUGAUACUGACGCUGAGGCACGAAAGCGUGGGGAGCAAACAGGAUUAGAUACCCGCGUAGUC
RNAcentral lists this ribosomal RNA (439 nucleotides) under uncultured bacterium. Its description in RNAcentral is "partial 16S ribosomal RNA". It matches the Rfam family "Bacterial small subunit ribosomal RNA", at positions 339 to 795 of the family's 1533-position model. The record is from RNAcentral.